This 634-nucleotide ribosomal RNA is filed under the name uncultured bacterium. RNAcentral's name for it is "bacterial SSU rRNA". It matches the Rfam family "Bacterial small subunit ribosomal RNA", at positions 247 to 872 of the family's 1533-position model. The record is from RNAcentral.
AGUUGGUAAGGUAAUGGCUUACCAAGGCGAUGAUAGGUAGGCGGCCUUAACGGGUGGUCGCCCACACUGGGAUUGAGAUACGGCCCAGACUCCUACGGGAGGCAGCAGUCGAGAAUAGUCUACAAUGGUCGAAAGACUGAUAGUGCGACGCCGCGUGAACGAAGAAGCCCUUCGGGGUGUAAAGUUCUUUUAUAUGUGAGCAAUGCCUUUUAUGUGAAUAGCAUGAGAGGAGCGAUAUUAGCAUAUGAAUAAGCAACGGCUAACUCCGUGCCAGCAGCCGCGGUAACACGGGGGUUGCAAGCGUUGUCCGGAAUUACUAGGCGUAAAGGGCAGGUAGGCGGAUAGAUAAGUUUUUUGUCAAAGGCGACGGCUCACCCGUCGUAUGGCAGGAGAUACUGUUUAUCUGGAAUGCGGUUGGGGAAGACAGAAUUCCUGGUGUAGCGGUGGAAUGCGCAGAGAUCAGGAGGAAUACCGAAGGCGAAGGCAGUCUUCUAAGCCGUUAUUGACGCUAAACUGCGAAGGUGUGGGUAUCAAACAGGAUUAGAUACCCUGGUAGUCCACACAGUAAACGAUAAUCACUAGGUGUCGGUGUCGUAGAGACUUCGGUGCCGUAGCUAACGCGAUAAGUGAUCGC